This is a long non-coding RNA of Cercocebus atys (sooty mangabey), 1498 nucleotides long. RefSeq lists it as uncharacterized. The record is from RefSeq and is a predicted model, not a curated record. Lineage: Eukaryota; Metazoa; Chordata; Mammalia; Primates; Cercopithecidae. The transcript has 3 exons.
UCUGCUCUCAGGCCAGAGCCACAUGUACCGAGUGAGAUCUCUCAGAGAGGUGGUGGGUACGAUAGGAUAAGCUGGGAGUGACCUGUCCCCAGCACACACCCUCGUUAGAACCCAGGGGAACAGAGGCUCUUAAAGGGCUAAUAUGAGGAGACAUUUUAUCAACGAGAGCUAUGCUGCAUAGAUCAUUUAGAAGCCAGCACAUCCAGGUGUUGCUGAAACAAAGCAGGACUGCAUAAGAUUCUCUUGAUGCUAAAAUACAGAUUCCCAGGGACCACUCCCAGAGAUUCUGAUUCUGUAGAUCUAAGAGCAAAGGGUGAAACUCGCUUUAUUGAAGGGACGUUGAAGCACAGAGAGAUGGAAAAGCUCAGAGACAUGGACAGCUCAUCUCUCCCGAACUCCUGUGCUUCAUGCUGCAUAACAUUGACUCCUGAGGAGCUGUCAUCUAUCAGAUUGAAUGGCGGACCCUGGAGGAGACUUAUAAACAGGCCAACCCCUUUUUCUUUACUAUUUUGUUCUGAGCUUUUGUUGCAUGUACGUGUCACGGGAGCAAUUUGCACAGGCCCUGCACUCUUGAGAAGGAAAACUCUCCUUCUUAAAGGAAUUUGGAAUCUUCAUCCUUUGUGUUUUUAUUAGAUCUGAUCAUCAUCCCCUCCCAGCGAAGUGAUAACAUCUAAUGAGCCAUGACUUCCUGGACUCAGAGGCUUGGAAUUCCGUUGUGAAUCACCACUCAUGAUGUUACUGUCUGGUUAUCGCAGUAUGAAGUGACAUGCAAAUAAGAAAAGUCCUUAUUUGUGAGACUUGAGCUUUGCAGCCCAGUUUUACAUUCUCCCUUCCCUUUCCCUUCAGAUUUUGCAAAGAAUAGGUCUGUGAUGACAGCCUCAGCUCUGCACACACCUCCCUGGGCUCCCACUUCUCAGCUGCAUAGACUUGUGACUUUCAGGGGUUAUUAAUAAUCACCUGAUCUGUCUUGGAAAAUUCUUGUAUAAAAUCACAAAAUCUUAUAGAAGAUACUGUACGACUCCAGUUUCUGUUUCAAUAUAGGGCUGUUCUCACAUUUCAUCUAUUGGCGUCUAAUUUCUGUAACAAGAGCCUUGGGGUCAUGGCACAACUUUGGACCUUAGAGAGAUCACGGUUUAGCAAGGAAUGAAGCUGUUCUUUCCUCUCUAUCCUCUACCGCCUCACAGACUUGAAGCCAGCACUUCAGAACACUACUGAAAAUCAGAAAGCGGUAAAACAAACAAACAAAAAGGGCUGGGAAACAGCCAAAAUAGAUUUCAUAAAAUCUGUGUGUUCUUUGAUCUUAGGGAAUCCUCUGGUAUGAACCCUCAGGCUGAUUAUUGUAUAAACAAACCCAAAAAGUUAAUUUCUAAACCCGUGGUGAAUUGGAAGAAAAAAGGGAGCUUGAAGGCCGAUACCCACAGUAUCGAUACAUAGCAGCCUUCAGAAAUGGCAAGGCUGAGAAGGCUAGAACUAGAUCCUCUGUGUUCAGAGGCAGGAA